RNAcentral lists this ribosomal RNA (502 nucleotides) under uncultured bacterium. RNAcentral describes it as "partial 16S ribosomal RNA". It matches the Rfam family "Bacterial small subunit ribosomal RNA", at positions 30 to 523 of the family's 1533-position model. The record is from RNAcentral.
AUUGAACGCUGGCGGCAGGCUUAACACAUGCAAGUCGAGCGGGGUGAUGGUGCUUGCACUAUCACUUAGCGGCGGACGGGUGAGUAAUGCUUAGGAAUCUGCCUAUUAGUGGGGACAACAUCUCGAAAGGGAUGCUAAUACCGCAUACGUCCUACGGGAGAAAGCAGGGGAUCACUUGUGACCUUGCGCUAAUAGAUGAGCCUAAGUCGGAGUAGCUAGUUGGUGGGGUAAAGGCCUACCAAGGCGACGAUCUGUAGCGGGUCUGAGAGGAUGAUCCGCCACACUGGGACUGAGACACGGCCCAGACUCCUACGGGAGGCAGCAGUGGGGAAUAUUGGACAAUGGGGGGAACCCUGAUCAAGCCAUGCCGCGUGUGUGAAGAAGGCCUUAUGGUUGUAAAGCACUUUAAGCGAGGAGGAGGCUCUUUUGGUUAAUACCCAAGAUGAGUGGACGUUACUCGCAGAAUAAGCACCGGCUAACUCUGUGCCAGCAGCCGCCGUAA